CCUACGGGUGGCAGCAGUGAGGAAUAUUGGUCAAUGGACGAGAGUCUGAACCAGCCAAGUAGCGUGAAGGAUGACUGCCCUAUGGGUUGUAAACUUCUUUUAUAAAGGAAUAAAACGAGGCACGUGUGCCUUUUUGCAUGUACUUUAUGAAUAAGGAUCGGCUAACUCCGUGCCAGCAGCCGCGGUAAUACGGAGGAUUCGAGCGUUAUCCGGAUUUAUUGGGUUUAAAGGGUGCGUAGGCGGUUUGUUAAGUCAGUGGUGAAAGUUGGAGGCUCAACCGUAAAAUUGCAUUUGAUACUGGCAGUCUUGAGUACAGUUGAGGUAGGCGGAAUGCGUGGUGUAGCGGUGAAAUGCUUAGAUAUCACGCAGAACCCCGAUUGCGAAGGCAGCUUACUAAGCUGUGACUGACAUUGAUGCACGAAAGUGUGGGUAUCAAACAGGAUUAGAUACCCCUGUAGUC
This 460-nucleotide ribosomal RNA is filed under the name uncultured bacterium. RNAcentral describes it as "partial 16S ribosomal RNA". It matches the Rfam family "Bacterial small subunit ribosomal RNA", at positions 338 to 795 of the family's 1533-position model. The record is from RNAcentral.